CCCUUCCCGUGGUCGAGCCGAGUGAGUCCCGAGCUAGGGCGCCUGGUGCGGAGGUCCUGACCUGAGGGCUGCAUCAAGAUCUUGUCAUUCCACAUCGUGGUUUCCUUUGAGGAUGUGGCUGUACCCCUCUCCCAGGAGGAGUGGGACUGUCUGAUCCCUGCUCAGAGGGGCCUCUACAAGGAUGUGAUGAUGGGGACCUAUGGGAACCUACUCUCAUUAGGUGAAUGGUUAAGCAAACUGUGGUACAUCCAUACCAUGGGAUACGACUCAACAAUCAAAAGGAACUGCCCAGACUUCACCACGAUGCAAUAUAUGCAUGACUUCAAGCUUCCAAACCUGAUGUCAUCUCCAGGCUGGAGCGGGGGGACGAACCAUAGACCCCUCACAUCCUGAGAACUCAGGGGAGCUGGAGCUGGAGGCACAAGAGAGAAGGCUGUGAUUCUAGGAUUGAAAAAGAGGAAAUGAUUCCAAAGCAGGACAUUUCUGAAGAAUUGGAAUCCCAGAGAGCAAAAUCAGAAGAUCAUGUAAGGAAUAUUUUUAAGGAAACUGAAGAGAUGAGUAAAACUGAGGGAAAGUUAGAGAAUUGCUGGAGAAAAUAUGCAGUAGAAGGAGUUAAGAACUCAUUCUCCCAGAAGAGCAAUUUCAGAGAAAUUACCAUGAGGUAUGUGAAAACCCUCUCUAGAGAGAAUGGCCAGAAGUUCAAUGCUGUUGGAGAAAACUGCAUUACAGACUCAAAUCCUGCCAAACAUCUUAGAGGGUCUAGAGAGGAGAGUCUCCAUCCAAGUGUGUCAAGUGUAGAAAACUUGCAACAACAUGAGGACCUCAUUAACCUCCAGAGUUUCCAAUUAGGAGAAAGAGCCUAUCAGACAGAUGUGUUAGUGAAAGUGCCCAGACAGAGCUCAGUUCUUAGUGAGAAUCAGAGGAUGAAUAAUCCAGAGAGAUGGUUUGAGAGUACUGGGUGUGGAAAAACUUACAAUCAGAACAGAGCUUUUAACCAGCACCAGAGAUUUCAUAGUGGAGAGAAGACCUAUGAGCACAAUGAAUGUGGAAAAGCUUUCAGUUGGCCCUCUAUCCUCAGUAAACAUCAGAGAAUCCACACUGGUAAGAAACUCUACACAUGUGAGGAUUGUGGCAAAUCUUUCAGUGUUCACUCAUACUUUAUUCAGCAUUGUAAAAUUCACACUAGAGAAAAA
This is a long non-coding RNA of Homo sapiens (human), 1193 nucleotides long. Ensembl annotates it as zinc finger protein 252, pseudogene. Its record names the gene ZNF252P. The record is from Ensembl. NCBI's taxonomy places the organism in Eukaryota, Metazoa, Chordata, Mammalia, Primates, Hominidae.